AGUGAACGCUGGCGGUAGGCCUAACACAUGCAAGUCGAACGGCAGCACAGGAGAGCUUGCUCUCUGGGUGGCGAGUGGCGGACGGGUGAGGAACACAUCGGAAUCUACUCUGUCGUGGGGGAUAACGUAGGGAAACUUACGCUAAUACCGCAUACGACCUACGGGUGAAAGCAGGGGACCUUCGGGCCUUGCGCGAUUGAAUGAGCCGAUGUCGGAUUAGCUAGUUGGCGGGGUAAAGGCCCACCAAGGCGACGAUCCGUAGCUGGUCUGAGAGGAUGAUCAGCCACACUGGAACUGAGACACGGUACAGACUCCUACGGGAGGCAGCAGUGGGGAAUAUUGGACAAUGGGCGCAAGCCUGAUCCAGCCAUACCGCGUGGGGGAAGAAGGCCUUCGGGUUGUAAAGCCCUUUUGUUGGGAAAGAAAUCCAGCUGGCUAAUACCCGGUUGGGAUGACGGUACCCAAAGAAUAAGCACCGGCUAACUUCGUGCCAGCCGCCGCAGUAA
Molecule: ribosomal RNA, 506 nt
Filed under: uncultured bacterium
Lineage: Bacteria
Description: partial 16S ribosomal RNA
Rfam family: Bacterial small subunit ribosomal RNA
Source: RNAcentral